This 253-nucleotide ribosomal RNA is filed under the name uncultured bacterium. RNAcentral describes it as "partial 16S ribosomal RNA". It matches the Rfam family "Bacterial small subunit ribosomal RNA", at positions 524 to 776 of the family's 1533-position model. The record is from RNAcentral.
UACGAAGGGGGCUAGCGUUGUUCGGAAUCACUGGGCGUAAAGGGCGCGUAGGCGGCUUUAUAAGUCGGGGGUGAAAGCCUGUGGCUCAACCACAGAAUUGCCUUCGAUACUGUAGAGCUUGAGACCGGAAGAGGUAAGUGGAACUGCGAGUGUAGAGGUGAAAUUCGUAGAUAUUCUCAAGAACACCAGUGGCGAAGGCGGCUUACUGGUCCGGUUCUGACGCUGAGGCGCGAAAGCGUGGGGAGCAAACAGG